Molecule: ribosomal RNA, 430 nt
Filed under: uncultured bacterium
Lineage: Bacteria
Description: partial 16S ribosomal RNA
Rfam family: Bacterial small subunit ribosomal RNA
Source: RNAcentral
AACGAACGCUGGCGGCAGGCCUAACACAUGCAAGUCGAACGCCCCGCAAGGGGCGUGGCAGCCGGGUGAGUAACGCGUGGGAACCUUCCCUAUAGUACGGAAUAGCCCAGGGAAACUUGGAGUAAUACCGUAUACGCCCGAAAGGGGAAAGAAUUUCGCUAUAGGAUGGGCCCGCGUAGGAUUAGCUAGUUGGUGAGGUAAUGGCUCACCAAGGCGACGAUCCUUAGCUGGUUUGAGAGAACGACCAGCCACACUGGGACUGAGACACGGCCCAGACUCCUACGGGAGGCAGCAGUGGGGAAUAUUGGACAAUGGGCGCAAGCCUGAUCCAGCCAUGCCGCGUGAGUGAUGAAGGCCUUAGGGUUGUAAAGCUCUUUUGGCGGGGACGAUAAUGACGGUACCCGCAGAAUAAGUCCCGGCUAACUUCGUG